Molecule: ribosomal RNA, 492 nt
Filed under: uncultured bacterium
Lineage: Bacteria
Description: partial 16S ribosomal RNA
Rfam family: Bacterial small subunit ribosomal RNA
Source: RNAcentral
GAUGAACGCUAGCUACAGGCUUAACACAUGCAAGUCGAGGGGAAACGGCAUUGAGUGCUUGCACUCUUUGGACGUCGACCGGCGCACGGGUGAGUAACGCGUAUCCAACCUUCCCAUUAAUGUGGGAUAACCUGCCGAAAGGCAGACUAAUACCGCAUAGUCUUCGAUGACGGCAUCAGAUUUGAAGUAAAGAUUUAUCGGUAAUGGAUGGGGAUGCGUCUGAUUAGCUUGUUGGCGGGGUAACGGCCCACCAAGGCGACGAUCAGUAGGGGUUCUGAGAGGAAGGUCCCCCACAUUGGAACUGAGACACGGUCCAAACUCCUACGGGAGGCAGCAGUGAGGAAGAUUGGUCCAUGGACGGAAGUCUGAACCAGCCAAGUAGUGUGCAGGAUGACGGCCCUAUGGGUUGUAAACUGCUUUUGUAUGGGGAUAAAGUUAGGGACGGGUCCCUAUUUGCAGGUACCAUACGAAUAAGGACCGGCUAAUUCCGUG